CCCAUUUUUGUACCUGUCCUAGACUAAAUUUCGAAAUUUAUUCCUUUGGGCCUUAGGCCCAUCUUCCACCUGUCCUAAAUUCCAACAAGAUAAUAAUAAAUGAAAUGACAAGGGCUUAGGCCCAAAAUAACAAUACAAUCUCUUAUGAAGAUCAGGCCUUUGGCCCAAUCUUUUCAAUCUUUCGAUCUGUUUCAAAUUCUU
Molecule: long non-coding RNA, 201 nt
Filed under: Solanum tuberosum (potato)
Lineage: Eukaryota; Viridiplantae; Streptophyta; Magnoliopsida; Solanales; Solanaceae
Description: long non-coding RNA (STUB_LNC000393)
Source: RNAcentral